CAGUUUCAAGGGGUAUAUAGCCCUCCCCCUUAGCCUUUCCCCUCUGUCUAAUUGAGAAUCGGAACAACACUACCUCUUCACAUGUACGCGCAAAAGGGAGGGGUAGGGGUAAAAGGGGAGGGGCCAAGGGGUAAAUUGGGAUUCAUCCUUAG
Molecule: long non-coding RNA, 152 nt
Organism: Sphaeramia orbicularis (orbiculate cardinalfish)
Lineage: Eukaryota; Metazoa; Chordata; Actinopteri; Kurtiformes; Apogonidae
Exons: 4
Source: RefSeq, a predicted model, not a curated record